CUGUUUACCAGCAUAAAUAAGCCUGCAACAAGUAGUAUGUGUCAACAAAUCUUAUUCAAUCCAGAUGAAAGUAAAACAUAGCAUCGCAGGGCAAGGUAAGAAACUAAUGUAAAAAUAACACUGUUACAAAUUGAAAGGGCUCUAAAUCAAUGAUUAACUAAUCAUGGAGGAAUUGAUGAUUGAUUCUAAUAUGAUGUGGAAACAUAGAGUUGUUAAUGGUUCAGAUGGUCUACAAGAACAACUUGAAGCAUAAGUGAGAAGCAAUAUGGGGGGAAAUAAUAGACCCUUUGGCACCUACAAGAUUGAUAGUCAGAAUUACAGUAAAUACAGCUAGGACACUACCUCCAAAGAAUUAUACAUUAGCAGAUAAAAUUUGGGAUAAUGCUGAUGCAGAAGACUUAAAUAUAGAAAUAGAAUAAGAUCAAAUUGUUACCUUUGCUGCACUGG
RNAcentral lists this unclassified non-coding RNA (447 nucleotides) under Hevea brasiliensis (rubber tree). The record is from RNAcentral. Lineage: Eukaryota; Viridiplantae; Streptophyta; Magnoliopsida; Malpighiales; Euphorbiaceae.